RNAcentral lists this ribosomal RNA (916 nucleotides) under uncultured organism. RNAcentral describes it as "bacterial SSU rRNA". It matches the Rfam family "Bacterial small subunit ribosomal RNA", at positions 560 to 1489 of the family's 1533-position model. The record is from RNAcentral.
GUAAAGCGUCUGUAGGCGGAUGUGUAAAUUGGGCGUGAAAGCUCCGGGCUUAACCCGGAGAGGCCGUUCAAUACUGCAUAACUUGAGGGUGUCAGAGGGGAGCGGAAUUCCCGGUGUAGCGGUAAAAUGCGCAGAGAUCGGGAGGAACACCAGUGNCGGAGNCGGUUCCCUGGGGCACACCUGACGCUGAGAGACGAAAGCUAGGGGAGCGAACAGGAUUAGAGACCCUGGUAGUCCUAGCCCUAAACGAUGAAUGCUAGGUGUGGGAUCGAAUGGUUCCGUGCCGGAGCGAACGCGAUAAGCAUUCCGCCUGGGGAGUACGGCCGCAAGGUUAAAACUCAAACGAAUUGACGGGGCCCCGCACAAGCAGCGGAGCGUGUGGUUUAAUUCGAUGCUACACGAAGAACCUUACCUGGGUUUGACAUGUAGGUGGUAGUGAAUCGAAAGGUGAACGACCCUUCGGGGAGCCUACACAGGUGCUGCAUGGCUGUCGUCAGCUCGUGCCGUGAGGUGUCGGGUUAAGUCCCGUAACGAGCGCAACCCUUGCUCCUAGUUACAAGUGUCUAGGGGGACUGCCGGCGGAAAGCCGGAGGAAGGUGGGGAUGACGUCAAGUCAGCAUGGCCCUUAUAUCCAGGGCUACACACACGCUACAAUGGUCGGUACAAAGGGCAGCGAAACCGCGAGGCGGAGCGAAUCCGAGAAAAGCCGAUCGUAGUUCGGAUAGCAGGCUGCAACCCGCCUGCUUGAAGCUGGAGUUGCUAGUAACCGCGCGUCAGCCAUAGCGCGGUGAUACGUUCCCGGGGCUUGUACACACCGCCCGUCACGUCAUGGGAGUCGGUAACGCCUGAAGCCGGUAGUCUAACUGGAAACAGGAGACGCUGUCGAGGGCGGGACUGGCAACUGGGACGAAGUCGU